This 465-nucleotide ribosomal RNA is filed under the name uncultured Klebsiella sp. RNAcentral describes it as "bacterial SSU rRNA". It matches the Rfam family "Bacterial small subunit ribosomal RNA", at positions 338 to 795 of the family's 1533-position model. Lineage: Bacteria; Pseudomonadati; Pseudomonadota; Gammaproteobacteria; Enterobacterales; Enterobacteriaceae. The record is from RNAcentral.
CCUACGGGCGGCAGCAGUGGGGAAUAUUGCACAAUGGGCGCAAGCCUGAUGCAGCCAUGCCGCGUGUGUGAAGAAGGCCUUCGGGUUGUAAAGCACUUUCAGCGGGGAGGAAGGCGGUGAGGUUAAUAACCUCAUCGAUUGACGUUACCCGCCGAAGAAGCACCGGCUAACUCCGUGCCAGCAGCCGCGGUAAUACGGAGGGUGCAAGCGUUAAUCGGAAUUACUGGGCGUAAAGCGCACGCAGGCGGUCUGUCAAGUCGGAUGUGAAAUCCCCGGGCUCAACCUGGGAACUGCAUUCGAAACUGGCAGGCUAGAGUCUUGUAGAGGGGGGUAGAAUUCCAGGUGUAGCGGUGAAGUGCGUAGAGAUCUGGAGGAAUACCGGUGGCGAAGGCGGCCCCCUGGACAAAGACUGACGCUCACGUGCGAAAGCGUGGGGAGCAAACAGGAUUAGAUACCCUAGUAGUC